RNAcentral lists this ribosomal RNA (1381 nucleotides) under uncultured Parcubacteria group bacterium. Its description in RNAcentral is "bacterial SSU rRNA". It matches the Rfam family "Bacterial small subunit ribosomal RNA", at positions 29 to 1403 of the family's 1533-position model. The record is from RNAcentral.
AUUCGCCCUUGGGCGGUGUGUACAAGGCAUGCAAGUCGAACGUAAGCUCGGUAGCAAUAUCGAGAUUUAGUGGCAAACGGGUGCGUAACACAUUGGUAACCUACCACCAAGUCGGGGAUAGCUCGCCGAAAGGCGAAUUAAUACUCGAUGGCAAUGCGGGGACAUAAGCCAUUCGCAUUUAAAGUUUUAAUGCUUGGAGAUGGGCCUAUGGCCUAUCAGCUAGUUGGCGAGGUAACUGCUCACCAAGGCGACGACGGGUAGGGGGCGUGAGAGCGCGACCCCCCUCACUGGGACUGAGACACUGCCCAGACUCCUACGGGAGGCUGCAGUCGAGAAUAUUCCACAAUGGGCAAAAGCCUGAUGGAGCGACGCCGCGUGCAGGAUGAAGGUCUUCGGAUUGUAAACUGCUUUUAUAGGGGAAGAAUUUGUGACUGUACCCUAUGAAUAAGAGGUUGCUAACUCUGUGCCAGCAGCAGCGGUAAUACAGAGACCUCAAGCGUUAUCCGGAUUUACUGGGCGUAAAGCGUCCGCAGGUGGUUUGGUAAGUUAAUAGUCAAAUCUCAAAGCUCAACUUUGAGGCUGCUGUUAAUACUGUCAAACUAGAGGCCGGGAGAGGCAAGCGGAACUGCCGGUGUAGUCGUAAUAAGCGUUGAUAUCGGCGGGAACACCAAAGGCGAAGGCAGCUUGCUAGAACGGUCCUGACACUGAGGGACGAAAGCGUGGGUAGCGAAUAGGAUUAGAUACCCUAGUAGUCCACGCCCUAAACUAUGUGCACCAGGUAUUGGCAGUAUCGACCCUGCCAGUGCCGCUUAAAAAAGCUAACGCGUUAAGUGCACCGCCUGGGGAGUACGGCCGCAAGGCUAAAACUCAAAGGAAUAGACGGGGACCCGCACAAGCGGUGGAACAUGUGGUUUAAUUCGACGGCAAACGAGGAACCUUACCUGGGCUCAACUACUAGCUGCAUAUCACCAGAAAUGGAGAUAGCCUUCGAGGGUGCUAGAUAGGUGCUGCAUGGUUGCCGUCAGCUCGUGCCGUGAGGUGUACCGUUAAGUCGGGAAACGAGCGCAACCCACGUCGUGUGUUAAAUGUACACACGAGACCGCCCCGCUCUUUUAACAUUAUAUAUAGUGUUAAGGGAGCGGGGAGGAAGGGGUGGACGACGUCAAAUCAGCAUGGCUCUUACGUCCAGGGCCACACACAUGUUACAAUGGCCGGUACAAUGGGUUGCCAAACCGCGAGGUGGAGCUAAUCCCAUCAAAACCGGUCUCAGUUCAGAUUGAAGGCUGCAACUCGCCUUCAUGAAGUUGGAAUCGCUAGUAAACGCCUAUCAGCCACGGGGCGUUGAAUACGUUCUCGGGCCUUGUACACACCGCCCAAGGGC